RNAcentral lists this transfer RNA (71 nucleotides) under Stegodyphus mimosarum. It matches the Rfam family "tRNA". Rfam says of the family: Transfer RNA (tRNA) molecules are approximately 80 nucleotides in length. Their secondary structure includes four short double-helical elements and three loops (D, anti-codon, and T loops). Lineage: Eukaryota; Metazoa; Arthropoda; Arachnida; Araneae; Eresidae. The record is from Rfam by way of RNAcentral.
GCCUUCGUGGUGUAACGGUAGCACACUCGGUUGGUCUUCGAGAGGUUCAGGUUCGAAACCCGACGAGGGAA